RNAcentral lists this transfer RNA (72 nucleotides) under Ornithorhynchus anatinus (platypus). It matches the Rfam family "tRNA". Rfam says of the family: Transfer RNA (tRNA) molecules are approximately 80 nucleotides in length. Their secondary structure includes four short double-helical elements and three loops (D, anti-codon, and T loops). Further hydrogen bonds mediate the characteristic L-shaped molecular structure. tRNAs have two regions of fundamental functional importance: the anti-codon, which is responsible for specific mRNA codon recognition, and the 3' end, to which the tRNAs corresponding amino acid is attached (by aminoacyl-tRNA synthetases). tRNAs cope with the degeneracy of the genetic code in two manners: having more than one tRNA (with a specific anti-codon) for a particular amino acid; and 'wobble' base-pairing, i.e. permitting non-standard base-pairing at the 3rd anti-codon position. Lineage: Eukaryota; Metazoa; Chordata; Mammalia; Monotremata; Ornithorhynchidae. The record is from Rfam by way of RNAcentral.
AGCAAUGUGGCCUAAUAGAAUGAGCACUGGCCUGGGAGUCAGAAGACCUGGGUUCUAAUCCCAGCUCUGCCA